AUCAGGUAGGGAUACCCGCUGAAC
RNAcentral lists this ribosomal RNA (24 nucleotides) under Lasiodiplodia theobromae. RNAcentral describes it as "partial 28S ribosomal RNA". Lineage: Eukaryota; Fungi; Ascomycota; Dothideomycetes; Botryosphaeriales; Botryosphaeriaceae. The record is from RNAcentral.